RNAcentral lists this non-coding RNA (30 nucleotides) under Rattus norvegicus (Norway rat). Lineage: Eukaryota; Metazoa; Chordata; Mammalia; Rodentia; Muridae. The record is from RNAcentral.
UGCUAAGACGGACUCACAUGCCGAGGCAAG